This 510-nucleotide ribosomal RNA is filed under the name uncultured bacterium. Its description in RNAcentral is "partial 16S ribosomal RNA". It matches the Rfam family "Bacterial small subunit ribosomal RNA", at positions 28 to 507 of the family's 1533-position model. The record is from RNAcentral.
GACGAACGCUGGCGGCGUGCUUAACACAUGCAGGUCGAACGAAGAGCGAUGGAAGCUUGCUUCUAUCAAUCUUAGUGGCGAACGGGUGAGUAACGCGUAAUCAACCUGCCCUUCAGAGGGGGACAACAGUUGGAAACGACUGCUAAUACCGCAUACGAUCUAAUCUCGGCAUCGAGGAUAGAUGAAAGGUGGCCUCUACAUGUAAGCUAUCACUGAAGGAGGGGAUUGCGUCUGAUUAGCUAGUUGGAGGGGUAACGGCCCACCAAGGCGAUGAUCAGUAGCCGGUCUGAGAGGAUGAACGGCCACAUUGGGACUGAGACACGGCCCAGACUCCUACGGGAGGCAGCAGUGGGGAAUCUUCCGCAAUGGACGAAAGUCUGACGGAGCAACGCCGCGUGAGUGAUGACGGCCUUCGGGUUGUAAAGCUCUGUUAAUCGGGACGAAAGGCCUUCUUGCGAAUAGUGAGAAGGAUUGACGGUACCGGAAGAGAAAGCCACGGCUAACUACGUG